UUUCCUAUCUAUGUGCCUCUGACCAAGUUACGUGCCAUCAGUCGCAGGUAAUACGUAGCAAGCACUAGUGUUAUUCAUCUUUAAUAGGUUUAAAGGGUACCUAGCCGGUAAAUCAAGUCCAAAAAGGAUACUAAUUUGCUAGAGUUUAAUGUGAGGGGGCACUAAAGUACUGAUAAGUGUAGAGAUGAAAUUCUGUGAUACAAUAUAAGGACAGGUAAAGGCGAAAGCAUCUCAUUAUGUAAUAACUGACGUUGAGGGACGAAGGCUAGGAGAAGCAAAAAGGAUUAGAUACCCAAGUAGUCUUAGCAGAAAAUUAUGAAUGUCAUAGGAUGGAAAUAGUGGACAACAAUUUUUUUCUAUAAAUGAAAGUGUAAGCAUUCCACCUCGAGAGUAAUUUGGCAACAUUGGAACUGAAAUCAUUAGACCGUUUCUGAAACAAGUAGUGAAGUAUGUUGUUUAAUUUGAUAGUCCGCAAAAAACCUUACCACAAUUUGAAUAGAAAUUUUUUAUUUCGACACAAGCGGUGCACGGUUGUCGUCCAGUUAAUGUCGUGGAUGCGCCGUUAG
Molecule: ribosomal RNA, 566 nt
Filed under: Rinodina alba
Lineage: Eukaryota; Fungi; Ascomycota; Lecanoromycetes; Caliciales; Physciaceae
Description: SSU rRNA
Rfam family: Bacterial small subunit ribosomal RNA
Source: RNAcentral